Molecule: ribosomal RNA, 253 nt
Filed under: uncultured bacterium
Lineage: Bacteria
Description: partial 16S ribosomal RNA
Rfam family: Bacterial small subunit ribosomal RNA
Source: RNAcentral
UACGGGGGGGGCAAGCGUUGUUCGGAAUUACUGGGCGUAAAGGGUCUGUAGGUGGCCAACUAAGUCAGACGUGAAAUCCCUCAGCUUAACUGGGGAACUGCGUCUGAUACUGGUCGGCUUGAGUGCAGGAGAGGAACGCGGAAUUCCAGGUGUAGCGGUGAAAUGCGUAGAUAUCAAGAGGAACACCUGCGGCGAAGGCGGGUUGCUGGGCCGACACUGACGCUGAGGCGCGAAAGCUAGGGGAGCGAACGGG